Molecule: ribosomal RNA, 301 nt
Filed under: uncultured bacterium
Lineage: Bacteria
Description: partial 16S ribosomal RNA
Rfam family: Bacterial small subunit ribosomal RNA
Source: RNAcentral
CAGUCGCCGCGGUAAUACGAAGGGGGCUAGCGUUGCUCGGAAUCACUGGGCGUAAAGGGUGCGUAGGCGGGUCUUUAAGUCAGGGGUGAAAUCCUGGAGCUCAACUCCAGAACUGCCUUUGAUACUGAAGAUCUUGAGUUCGGGAGAGGUGAGUGGAACUGCGAGUGUAGAGGUGAAAUUCGUAGAUAUUCGCAAGAACACCAGUGGCGAAGGCGGCUCACUGGCCCGAUACUGACGCUGAGGCACGAAAGCGUGGGGAGCAAACAGGAUUAGAUACCCCCGUAGUCCCUGUCUCUUAUAA